This 450-nucleotide ribosomal RNA is filed under the name uncultured bacterium. Its description in RNAcentral is "bacterial SSU rRNA". It matches the Rfam family "Bacterial small subunit ribosomal RNA", at positions 29 to 524 of the family's 1533-position model. The record is from RNAcentral.
AACGAACGCUGGCGGCAUGCCUAACACAUGCAAGUCGAACGAAGUCUUCGGACUUAGUGGCGCACGAGUGCGUAACGCGUGGGAAUCUGCCCUUGGGUGCGGAAUAACUUCUCGAAAGGGAUGCUAAUACCGCAUAAUGUCGUAAGACCAAAGAUUUAUCGCCCAAGGAUGAGCCCGCGUAAGAUUAGCUAGUCGGUGGGGUAAAAGCCUACCAAGGCGACGAUCUUUAGCUGGUCUGAGAGGAUGAUCAGCCACACUGGGACUGAGACACGGCCCAGACUCCUACGGGAGGCAGCAGUGGGGAAUAUUGGACAAUGGGCGAAAGCCUGAUCCAGCAAUGCCGCGUGAGUGAUGAAGGCCCUAGGGUUGUAAAGCUCUUUUACCAGGGAUGAUAAUGACAGUACCGGGAGAAUAAGCCCCGGCUAACUCCGUGCCAGCAGCCGCGGUAAU